UUGAACGCUGGCGGCAUGCUUUACACAUGCAAGUCGAACGGUAACAGGUUAAGCUGACGAGUGGCGAACGGGUGAGUAAUGCAUCGGAACGUGCCCGAUCGUGGGGGAUAACGCAGCGAAAGCUGCGCUAAUACCGCAUACGAUCUGAGGAUGAAAGCGGGGGACCGUAAGGCCUCGCGCGAUCGGAGCGGCCGAUGUCAGAUUAGGUAGUUGGUGGGGUAAAGGCUCACCAAGCCGACGAUCUGUAGCUGGUCUGAGAGGACGACCAGCCACACUGGGACUGAGACACGGCCCAGACUCCGACGGGAGGCAGCAGUGGGGAAUUUUGGACAAUGGGCGAAAGCCUGAUCCAGCCAUUCCGCGUGCAGGAUGAAGGCCUUCGGGUUGUAAACUGCUUUUGGACGGAACGAAAAGCCACUUUCUAAUACAAGGUGGUCAUGACGGUACCGUCAGAAUAAGCACCGGCUAACUACGU
Molecule: ribosomal RNA, 475 nt
Filed under: uncultured bacterium
Lineage: Bacteria
Description: bacterial SSU rRNA
Rfam family: Bacterial small subunit ribosomal RNA
Source: RNAcentral